Paramuricea clavata is the source of this 2415-nucleotide non-coding RNA. Lineage: Eukaryota; Metazoa; Cnidaria; Anthozoa; Malacalcyonacea; Plexauridae. The record is from the annotation of a GenBank genome assembly.
CUGAAUUUAUGGAUUGUUUUGAAAGGUUGAAUGAAUCAUUUAAUAUUGCAUUUUUGAAUUUAAAUUAUUUCAAUAAAUGUUGUAUUCUGAAUCUUUCCUGACUGAAUUUUAGACUUUAUUUACAAAAUUAUGUGUUACAAAAUUAUUACAAUAUGCUCACAAAUGAGCCAAAACAUUCAAAUAUUCAUGCAGAGUUUGCUAGCACACCAGUAGCAUAAAGUGGCAUAGAAGUGUAGGAAUAAAAUGUAUAAUUAAGAAGUUGAAAUGCUUUCUUUUCGCCAAGAUUUUGUUAAAAAAAAAGUUGUUAAUGUACAAUGGUACAGGUUUGUAGGCUUUAGAGUAUUAUUAUUAUAAGAAAGCCUAUAUACCUGAUGCAAUAUAUGUGUUGCUAUAGGUUUGCCUUUAAAAGUUUAAAUGAGAUUCCUGCAUGAUAACCAUUAAAUAUAUAUAUAUAAUUUUAUUUAGUGUUCUAAUGCGAUUAUAGAUUAGGAGGACGGUGGGGAUUUGUCAUAUAGAACUUCAAUAGACCGUUUGCAAGACCUGGCUAUGUGACUUCCCAACCCUGAAACUCGAGCAGUCGCGUCGAAAUGAUGCCAAUCAACAAGGUCAAAAUCAUUACUAGCCAAAAAGCGCGUUGUGUCCCAGUCGUACAAAUCCUAUUAAUUAAAAUAGGACUUAAUCAUCUCGUUUGUCUACUAAUAUUAAGAAAUCUGCAUGGUCAGGAGAGUUUCUUCUACUCAAACCCAAAUGAACAUUUUAUUAUCCUAUAUAUUGUUAAGUGUGUGCGCGUGGUUUAUAUAUAUACUUCAAGUUUUGUUUGAUAACACAAUACAACUGAUGUUAACUGCAUGAUAACUAUAGGAUAUUUGUUUAUUUUUGGUAAAUGUUUGGUAAAAGAUAGCAAGCUAAUGAGAUUGUGAUCGUAUGACAAAUCAGUGUUAAAAUUCAAGUUAUAUAUUACAUAAUGGGGGAGUAAACAUGUUGUACUCAUAUAUACGACAGUAAUCUUUCCUCUCACGAACGCUUUUAUGUCUUCUCUAUCGAAGUAAGCAAUUAAAAGUAUAGUUUUGUAUACUAUAACAUGAAAUGAAACUAUAUUAAAGAAAAAAUUACAAUUGCCAAUUGGGUUUUCUCCGCGCUGCAUAAUUGUUUCGUAACGAUACCAAUUUUGUCAUUUUAACGAAGAUUGUCCGUAGUUGUAGAGUUUAAUUAAAGUUCAUGCAGAAAACUAUAGAAUAUUAUAUUAGAGUUUUGAAAUGCUCACCGUUUCUUCUUUUGUCUUUGUACCGCAACACUCUAAAUCUGUAACUAAUACAACUUCUUCUCUUGCACGAAGCAUGAAAUUUUGUCCGGCGUAGUUUUAUUAUGACCGAAUUUGACAUGAAUGAAUAUGUCAGUUACGUCAUGAUGCACGACCAAUCAAUUUUAAGUUAUCAUUUUUCGUAAUUAUUGUAGUAUUCAAAUCAAAUAAAAUGGGUUUAAUUAAAUUUAAUCACAGGCGAACGUCGACUUCGUCUAAAUACCGUAUAAUAAGCGAAUGUUCGUCUGAAUAUCGUAUAUAUUCAUUACUUAAAAUAGUAUCAACCUGAAGCUGUGAUCCAGAUAAUCCUUCAUCUACACCAAUAUAUUAUAGAGAUCUUUUUUAUUGUAUAACGCAUUAACGUCUGUAGAUGACACAGAAUUUUAUCAGAAUUUUUAAUGCAUUACAUGUAACACCAUAGUGUUUGAAGAUUGCCUCGUUGUCCUAUUGCAUUUCAUGGUUCGUUUAAUUUAAAAAGCUCCACAAUCUUGUCUCUGUUUUUCAGUGUGGUUAAGAGUUUUAAUUUGUCUACCUUUGUGAACAUUGACUAUAAGAUAUAGAAAACAGCCGCGUGGCAGAUAAUCUGUUCAUGGAUGCAGUUUUUGAACUCGUCCAGAAGUGUAGUUUGACCGACCCGCCGACCACGUAUAGCGACGGAAUAACUUCGCUAAAUACGCAUCACUCACGAGUCUUCGCGUUCAUUUUCUUUGGCAUGCGAGUGUUGGAACAAAAAGGUCGAAGUCAUUCCUCGCGACCCCACGGUUUCCGUGGCUCGACAGAUGUAGUAUAAGAAUUUAUCCCGCGUAACAUAUCACGAAAUCACGUUGUAUAACGCAUAAAACGCUUGGCCCAGAAGAUCAAAUUUGAACAAAAAACUGUACGUAUCCUCGUCAUCUUAACGUCGUUUUGUCCAAGUGUAUAAGGAAUGUGAAAGCGGCAGAACCGCCAGAGCGUCAGUUUGCUCUUUUGUCUGGCGUCAUGUGAAGAGAUGAAGAAAACAGCAUAAAAUAUGAAACAAGGUCUGGAUUUAUGAAACCAUGGAACCAUGGACUGAUAUCCAGUACAUUGUUAAUUGACCAAUCCUAGCGUUUCAUUUUGAUCAGAUGAUAUCUCUA